UCGAGAAUCUUCGGCAAUGGGCGAAAGCCUGACCGAGCGACGCCGCGUGCGGGAUGAAGGCCUUCGGGUUGUAAACCGCUGUCAGAGGGGAGGAAAUAUUUAAGGGUCAUCCCUUUUAUUUGACCGAUCCUCAGAGGAAGUACGGGCUAAGUUCGUGCCAGCAGCCGCGGUAAUACGAACCGUACGAACGUUAUUCGGAAUCACUGGGCUUAAAGAGUGCGUAGGCGGCUUAGCAAGUUGGGUGUGAAAUCCCUCGGCUCAACCGAGGAACUGCGCCCAAAACUGCUAGGCUUGAGGGAGGCAGAGGUGAGCGGAACUAAUGGUGGAGCGGUGAAAUGCGUUGAUAUCAUUAGGAACACCGGUGGCGAAGGCGGCUCACUGGGUCUCUUCUGACGCUGAGGCACGAAAGCUAGGGGAGCGAACGGG
This 426-nucleotide ribosomal RNA is filed under the name uncultured bacterium. RNAcentral describes it as "bacterial SSU rRNA". It matches the Rfam family "Bacterial small subunit ribosomal RNA", at positions 355 to 776 of the family's 1533-position model. The record is from RNAcentral.